GGGAAUUUUAAUAUUUUGGGGAGGGGGUUUUAUGAAUUUGAGAAGGGAUUUUAAUUAAUUUGAGGAGGGGGUUUUAAUUAACUUGAGGAGGGGUUUUAAUUAAUUUGAGGAGGGGAUUUUAUUAAUUUGAGGAAGGGGUUUUAAUUAAUUUGAGGAGGGGGUUUUAAUCAAUUUGAGGAGGGGGAUUUUAUUAAUUUGAGGAGGGGGAUUUUAUUAAUUUGAGGAGGGGUUUUAAUUAAUUUGAGGAGGGGGUUUUAAUCAAUUUGAGGAGGGGGUUUUAAUUAACUUGAGGAGGGGGUUUUAAUUAAUUUGAGGAGCGGGUUUUAAUUAAUUUGAGGAUGGAUUUUAAUUAAUUUGAGGAGGGGAUUUUAUUAAUUUGAGGAGGGGGUUUUAAUUAAUUUGAGGAGGGGGUUUUAAUUAAUAUGAGAAGGAGCUUUAAUUAAUUUGAGGAUGGAUUUUUAUUUGAGGAGGGGGAUUUUAUUAAUUUGAGAAGGGAUUUUAAUUAAUUUGAGGAGGGGUUUUAAUUAAUAUAAGGAUGGAUUUUAAUUAAUUUGGGAAGGGGAUUUAAUUAAUUUGAGGAGGGGAUUUUAUUAAUUUGAGGAGGGGUUUUAAUUAAUUUGAGGCAAGGGUUUUAAUUAAUUUGGGGAGGGAGAUUUAAUUAAUUUGAGGAUGGAUUUUAAUUAAUUUGAGGAGGGGGUUUAAUUAAUUUGAGGAGGGGUUUUAAUUAAUUUGAGGAUGGAUUUUAAUUAAUUUGGGGAGGGGGUUUAAUUAAUUUGGGGAGGGAAUUAUUAUUUUAAGGAGGGAAAUUUUAAUAUUUUGCGAUGGGGUUUUUUAUAAUUAACUUUAAUUAAUUGAUUAAUUGCAAUUAAUGAACUCUAAUUAAUUAAUUUCUGUUAAUUACAGGACUUCAUUUUCUUCUGCGACGCCGUGGCCUCGUGGGUGAGCCCCAAGGACGACCUGAGGGAAAUGUUCUACAAGGUGAGGAGGGGGCUUAAAGGGUGGAGACCCCUCCCCAAAUUAACCCUGGGGGGCUUAAAGGGUGGAGACCCCUCC
Molecule: long non-coding RNA, 1053 nt
Filed under: Parus major (Great Tit)
Lineage: Eukaryota; Metazoa; Chordata; Aves; Passeriformes; Paridae
Description: lncRNA (ENSPMJG00000004832.1)
Source: RNAcentral